Molecule: long non-coding RNA, 677 nt
Organism: Drosophila serrata
Lineage: Eukaryota; Metazoa; Arthropoda; Insecta; Diptera; Drosophilidae
Source: RefSeq, a predicted model, not a curated record
UCCUGCCGAUCAGGCAGGCCUUUGAAGUAAGGUCGUAAUAUCAGUCCAGAAAAAUUUGUUAGUAAAAGUCGCACAUAGUCAACUAAAUUUCCUACCCAGGCUUGUGAUCUCUGACGGGUUUCAGUCAGCCAGAAUCAAAGAUGUGUAGCCCCUGCUGUGGACCUUGCUGCUCGCCAUGCUGCAAUGACUGCUGCAGCCCCUGCUGCAGUCCCUGCUGUAGUCCCUGCUGCAGUCCUUGCUGCAGUCCCUGCUGCGGUCCCUGCUGCGGUCCAUGCUGCGGUCCCUGCUGCGGCCCUUGCUGCGGUCCGUGUUGCGGCCCCUGUUGCGGUCCCUGCUGCUGCGGUCCAUGCAAUAAGUGCUGCGGACCCUGCUGCGGCCCGUGCUGCGGCCCCUGCUGUAGCCCCUGCUGCAAUCCCUGCUGCGGCCCAUGUUGCAGCCCUUGUUGCACACCCUGCUGCAGCCCGUGUUGCAGUCCUUGCUGCAACCCCUGCUGCAGCCCGUGUGGUGGGCCCAAGUGCAAGUGAUCCGCGCAACCAAGAUGGGAUCGGAAAGAGCAAACCCGAGGUAGGAGGCGAACACAAACGUCACCACAAGUUCGCAGUACCCGUUAGAGAAGCAUCCUAGCCCAAAUGUAGACACCAACUGAGGUAAUCAAAUACAAGAAAAUUGGACAGCAA